AACGAACGCUGGCGGCGCGCCUCAGGCAUGCAAGUCAAGCGGUGUAGCAAUACACAGUGGCAAACGGGUGAGUAACACGUGGGAAUCUACCUCUAGGUGGGGGAUAACAUAGGGAAACCUGUGCUAAUACCGCAUAAUGUCUUCGGACCAAAGAUUUAUCGCCAAGAGAGGAGCCCGCGUCAGAUUAGCUAGUUGGUGAGGUAACGGCUCACCAAGGCGACGAUCUGUAGCUGGUCUUAGAGGACGAUCAGCCACACUGGGACUGAGACACGGCCCAGACUCCUACGGGAGGCAGCAGCUAGGAAUCUUGGACAAUGGGGGAAACCCUGAUCCAGCGACGCCGCGUGUGUGAUGAAGGCCUCGGUUGUAAG
Molecule: ribosomal RNA, 371 nt
Filed under: uncultured bacterium
Lineage: Bacteria
Description: bacterial SSU rRNA
Rfam family: Bacterial small subunit ribosomal RNA
Source: RNAcentral